RNAcentral lists this ribosomal RNA (966 nucleotides) under uncultured bacterium. RNAcentral's name for it is "bacterial SSU rRNA". It matches the Rfam family "Bacterial small subunit ribosomal RNA", at positions 25 to 988 of the family's 1533-position model. The record is from RNAcentral.
CAGAGCGAACGCUGGCGGCGUGCUUAACACAUGCAAGUCGAACGCGCAGCAUUCUGUAGCAAUACAGGAUGUGGGCGCGUGGCGAACGGGUGCGUAACACGUGGAUAACCUUCCUUCAGGUGGGGAAUAACCCAGUGAAAAUUGGGCUAAUACCGCAUAACAUGACGAGGGCACAUGCUCUUGUCUUCAAAGGCGCAAGUCGCCAGAAGAGGGAUCCGCGGCCGAUUAGCUUGUUGGCGAGGUAAUGGCUCACCAAGGCAUUGAUCGGUAGCCGGACUGAGAGGUUGGCCGGCCACACUGGAACUGAGACACGGUCCAGACUCCUACGGGAGGCAGCAGUGGGGAAUCUUGCGCAAUGGACGAAAGUCUGACGCAGCAACGCCGCGUGGGGGAUGAAGCUUCUCGGAGUGUAAACCCCUUUCGACCCGGACGAAUGCCCGCAAGGGUUUGACGGUACGGGUAUAAGAAGCCCCGGCUAACUACGUGCCAGCAGCCGCGGUAAAACGUAGGGGGCCAGCGUUGCUCGGAAUUACUGGGCGUAAAGGGUCCGUAGGCGGUGCGGCAAGUCGGAAGUGAAAUCUCUGGGCUUAACCCAGAGGCUGCUUCCGAAACUGCCGUGCUAGAGGAUGAGAGAGGCAAGUGGAAUUGCGGGUGUAGCGGUGAAAUGCGUAGAUAUCCGCAGGAACAUCCGAGGCGAAAGCGGCUUGCUGGAUCAUUUCUGACGCUGAGGGACGAAAGCUAGGGGAGCAAACAGGAUUAGAUACCCUGGUAGUCCUAGCCCUAAACCAUCAGGACUUGGGGUUUGCCCUGUACGGGGCAAGUCCCGUAGCUAACGCGUUAAGUCCUGCGCCUGGGGAGUACGGUCGCAAGGCUGAAACUCAAAGGAAUUGACGGGGGCCCGCACAAGCGGUGGAACAUGUGGUUCAAUUCGACGCAACGCGAAGAACCUUACCUGGGCUUGAACCG